Ictidomys tridecemlineatus (thirteen-lined ground squirrel) is the source of this 105-nucleotide small nuclear RNA. Lineage: Eukaryota; Metazoa; Chordata; Mammalia; Rodentia; Sciuridae. The record is from Ensembl.
AUGCUCUCUUUGGCAGCACAUGUACUAAAGUUGGAAUGACACAGAAGAUUAGCAUGGCCUCUGCACAAGGAUGACACGCAAAUUUGUGAAGUGUUCCAUAUUUUU